Molecule: ribosomal RNA, 207 nt
Filed under: uncultured bacterium
Lineage: Bacteria
Description: partial 16S ribosomal RNA
Rfam family: Bacterial small subunit ribosomal RNA
Source: RNAcentral
CGCGUAGGCGGUUUUGUUAGUCGGAUGUGAAGUCCCCGGGCUUAACCUGGGAACUGCAUUCGAUACUGCAUAACUAGAGUAUGGUAGAGGGAAGUGGAAUUCCGGGUGUAGCGGUGAAAUGCGUAGAUAUCCGGAGGAACACCAGUGGCGAAGGCGACUUCCUGGGCCAAUACUGACGCUGAGGUGCGAAAGCGUGGGGAGCAAACA